UACGGAGUGUCCAAGCGUUAAUCGGAAUUACGGGUCGUACAGCGCACGCAGGCGGUCUGUUAAGUCGGAUGUGAAAUCCCCGGGCUCAACCUGGGAACUGCAUCAGAAACUCGCAGGCUAGAGUCUUGUAGAGGGGGGUAGAAUUCCAGGUGUAGCGGUGAAAUGCGUAGAGAUCUGGAGGAAUACCGGUGGCGAAGGCGGCCCCCUGGACAAAGACUGACGCUCAGGUGCGAAAGCGUGGGGAGCAAACAGG
RNAcentral lists this unclassified non-coding RNA (253 nucleotides) under uncultured Enterobacteriaceae bacterium. RNAcentral's name for it is "contains 16S-23S intergenic spacer region". It matches the Rfam family "Bacterial small subunit ribosomal RNA", at positions 524 to 776 of the family's 1533-position model. Lineage: Bacteria; Pseudomonadati; Pseudomonadota; Gammaproteobacteria; Enterobacterales; Enterobacteriaceae. The record is from RNAcentral.